CAAUAGCGUAUAUUAAAGUUGUUGCGGUUAAAAAGCUCGUAGUUGGAUUUCUGCCGAGGACGACCGGUCCGCCCUCUGGGUGUGUAUCUGGUUUGGCCUGGGCAUCUUCUUGGAGAACGUAGCUGCACUUGACUGUGUGGUGCGGUGUCCAGGACUUUUACUUUGAGGAAAUUAGAGUGUUUCAAGCAGGCGCACGCCUUGAAUACAUUAGCAUGGAAUAAUAAGAUAGGACCUUAGUUCUAUUUUGUUGGUUUCUAGAGCUGAGGUAAUGAUUAAUAGGGAUAGUUGGGGGUAUUCGUAUUCCGUUGUCAGAGGUGAAAUUCUUGGAUUUACGGAAGACGAACUACUGCGAAAGCAUUUACCAAGGAUGUUUUCAUUAA
This 380-nucleotide ribosomal RNA is filed under the name uncultured eukaryote. RNAcentral describes it as "partial 18S ribosomal RNA". It matches the Rfam family "Eukaryotic small subunit ribosomal RNA", at positions 592 to 976 of the family's 1831-position model. The record is from RNAcentral.